GCCAUUGCUAUCGGGGUCCGAUUUAGCCAUGCUAGUUGUACGAGUUCAGACUCGUAGCGGAAAGCUCAGUAACACGUGGUCAAGCUACCCUGUGGACCAGAAUAACCCCGGGAAACUGGGGCUAAUCCUGGAUAAUGCUCCUGCUCUGGAAAGAGCGGAGCUGGAAACGCUCCGGCGCCACAGGAUGCGGCUGCGGCCGAUUAGGUAGACGGUGGGGUAACGGCCCACCGUGCCCAUAAUCGGUACGGGUUGUGAGAGCAAGAGCCCGGAGAUGGAAUCUGAGACAAGAUUCCAGGCCCUACGGGGCGCAGCAGGCGCGAAACCUUUACACUGUACGCAAGUGCGAUAAGGGGACCCCGAGUGCGAGGGCAUACAGUCCUCGCUUUUGUGUACCGUAAGGAGGUACACGAAUAAGGGCUGGGCAAGACCGGUGCCAGCCGCCGCGGUAAUACCGGCAGCCCUAGUGAUGGCCGCUAUUAUUGGGCCUAAAGCGUCCGUAGCCG
This 503-nucleotide ribosomal RNA is filed under the name uncultured Halobacteria archaeon. Its description in RNAcentral is "bacterial SSU rRNA". It matches the Rfam family "Archaeal small subunit ribosomal RNA", at positions 23 to 527 of the family's 1478-position model. The record is from RNAcentral. Lineage: Archaea; Methanobacteriati; Methanobacteriota; Halobacteria.